UUUUAAAGUUUUAGUUAUUUUAAUGUUUACUGCUUUUAUAUUAUUGUGAUUUUGGCCUAUUGCCGUUUUGACUUAUUGCCGUUUUGACUUAUUCCCGAUCUGGUUAAAAAGAGUUGCCAUUUUGGUUUUUUGCCGUUUUGGUCAUUGCCAUUUUGACUUAUUGCCGUUUUGGUUUUUUGCCGUUGUCCAGAAACCUGACCAACGACAGCGUAGCAGAACCAAUUUACACGGGCCUAGAAAAUUGCAUCUAGAAAGAGUGUCUGUAUGAAGUCUAGAGGGGGCCUACACUAUCACUGCCCUAGGCCCUUGGUUGAUUGGAUUUCUCACUGUACACCACCCUAAAAAAGUGGUGCAAGAGGCUGGUGUAGGCCAGUGGUGUCCCUCUAUAUAGCCCCUUUUGUCUUCUCUAACUGUAAUUUAAAAUUUAACAACUUUUCUGAACCAUUUUAAUGGAAUAAAUAUUAUUUGUAUUUUGAGGAAAUAUGAUGAUUAUAAUUACUAUUUUAUUAUGUAAUAAUUCUAAGUAUUAAAAUAUGGUUUGUCCUACUUGACAGUAAGCGAAUAUCUGAUCAUCCUAACCCAAUCAUCAAUGUUUAACUCAUCAACAUGGGAUAUGAUAAUAAACCAUUGUACCCUGGCAGACCUGCUCCCUAAAAGGAGAGUUGUAAAUGCAGUUGGUUAAAUGAAAGAACACCCAGAAACUUCUACUGAUAUCAACCAUGUUUAUAUUUGGAACAGAAUAUUGAACUCUAAAACCAAAAAGAUGCCUGUGUUAGGUGUUAUGAUCCUACUACAAUAUCACUGACCAUACUUAGGAGUGAUGCCUGUCCUGAAAUUACAGCCCAUGAUAUGAAUGAAAAUAUUUUACAUCAGUUUAGCAAAAAGCAAUACAUUAUUUAGGCAAUGUACACAGCAUGUGUCCUUAUACAAAACACUAGAUCUUGGCUUGUAUCUCUCUCUUUUUCCAGGUGUAUUACAAAUAAAUAAAUGAUGUUCUUAUAGUAAAACAAUGUUAAUAAAGUGUCUUUUCAUUGCUGUCGAUAA
Anneissia japonica is the source of this 1044-nucleotide long non-coding RNA. RefSeq lists it as uncharacterized. The record is from RefSeq and is a predicted model, not a curated record. Lineage: Eukaryota; Metazoa; Echinodermata; Crinoidea; Comatulida; Comatulidae. The transcript is spliced from 2 exons.